UACGUAGGAGGCGAGCGUUGUCCGGAAUUACUGGGCGUAAAGAGCGCGUAGGCGGCGCUGUACGACCCGUGUGAAAGCCCCCGGCUCAACUGGGGAGGGUCAUCGGUAACGGUCGUGCUAUGAGUGCAGGAGAGGGAAGUGGAACUCCGGGAGUAGCGGUGAAAUGCGUAGAGACCCGGAGGAACACCAGUGGCGAAGGCGGCUUCCUGGUCUGCGACUGACGCUGUGGCGCGAAAGCUAGGGGAGCAAACGGG
RNAcentral lists this ribosomal RNA (254 nucleotides) under uncultured bacterium. Its description in RNAcentral is "partial 16S ribosomal RNA". It matches the Rfam family "Bacterial small subunit ribosomal RNA", at positions 524 to 776 of the family's 1533-position model. The record is from RNAcentral.